GGUCUCAUAUUGUAACGGUUAGCACUCUGGACUUUGAAUCCAGCGAUCUGAGUUCAAAUCUCGGUGAGACCU
Molecule: transfer RNA, 72 nt
Filed under: Rhipicephalus microplus (southern cattle tick)
Lineage: Eukaryota; Metazoa; Arthropoda; Arachnida; Ixodida; Ixodidae
Description: tRNA-Gln
Rfam family: tRNA
About the family: Transfer RNA (tRNA) molecules are approximately 80 nucleotides in length. Their secondary structure includes four short double-helical elements and three loops (D, anti-codon, and T loops).
Source: Rfam by way of RNAcentral